RNAcentral lists this ribosomal RNA (247 nucleotides) under uncultured bacterium. RNAcentral describes it as "partial 16S ribosomal RNA". It matches the Rfam family "Bacterial small subunit ribosomal RNA", at positions 530 to 776 of the family's 1533-position model. The record is from RNAcentral.
GGGUGCAAGCGUUAUCCGGAUUCACUGGGUUUAAAGGGUGCGUAGGUGGGGUGGUAAGUCAGUGGUGAAAUCUCCGGGCUUAACUUGGAAACUGCCGUUGAUACUAUCAUUCUUGAAUAUCGUGGAGGUAAGCGGAAUAUGUCAUGUAGCGGUGAAAUGCUUAGAUAUGACAUAGAACACCGAUUGCGAAGGCAGCUUGCUACACGAUCAUUGACACUGAGGCACGAAAGCGUGGGGAUCAAACAGG